This 4164-nucleotide long non-coding RNA is filed under the name Sorghum bicolor (sorghum). Its description in RNAcentral is "long non-coding RNA (SBIC_LNC005055)". The record is from RNAcentral. Lineage: Eukaryota; Viridiplantae; Streptophyta; Magnoliopsida; Poales; Poaceae.
AGUUCCAAGGGAUUUUAAAUUAAGCAUGGUGCUUAGGUUAAAAUGCCCUCCUAAAUCAAAUCAGACAUGGUGUCUAGGUUGAUUUUUGAGCCGAAAGUAUGCUAUAGUAGAUAUUGGAUAUUUUGUUGGACUAACCCCUGCAGGAAAACUUUCAAUAUCGACCUGGGAAGUCCUGAGAUAAACUCACAUCAGAGACAAAGAGAGAGACACAUGAAGUUUAACAAUUUACACAAGGAAGACGUAGCUCAUAAGAGAUGAUCCAUGGAGGGUGCUACAAACACGAUGCACAACCGCUAAGAAAGGAAAGCUUCCACAAGGUGAGACUGUACCAUCACUCUUCAAUUAAGGUAACACCUUAAGGUACUUGACUAUCACUUUUAUAAGCUUCUCCUUGGUUCUGGCGUUCAUAUGAAUAAAAGAGACAAACAUGUAUGAUUUAUAACUCCAAAUUAACCAACCCCACUGAUUCAAUAUGUUUAGUCCCUUAAUCUUUGAUCCCCACACUCCUAGUCAUAUGAGCUAAAAUGUUGCACAUUUAAUCUUUGGGAAGAUAUAAAGAAAAAGACAUAUAUAUAGAUAGAUUAUCUUUCUAUUAGGUUGAGCGAUCUGAUCCGGCAAAUGUUUUAAAUGCUACACUCAUGAACUUAUCAUUCAUCAACUUUGUCUUGCUCACCAUGCUUAAGGUUAGAGAAGAACAAAUACACUUUUGGUUCUGUUGGUGUUUUCCACCAAUAGGGCCCAUGCACUUGAUCUCUGCCUUGUCUCUAUGAGCAGGUACACUACGAGCACAAACACACGGAGCAAGAUACUGCCAACACCGCACUUCGAACUACUGGGCAAACGAAGAACAUGGGUGACACCGUAUUAAGAGGUGCAGACGUCAAGGUCCACACCUGAAUCAAAUGACACACCUAAAGAAUGAACACGGUGAGAAGUCUUAUUCAGAAGACUUAAAACAUUAAAUCCUCGCCGAAAGGUAAAAUCGGUAGUUAUCCAUAUUUAUCCUUUCUGCAUUCCCUUUUCCCUUUAAUUAUUUACUUUCCUUAAAUAGCUUAUUAGUUAAUCAUGCUAUCUUGAAAAGAAAAUAAAAGUGUUAAAAAUACUAAGCCCCAUGUGAGUAUGCUCGUGGCAUGAAACCCAUAAGUACAUUCACUGUGGUGGUGUAAAAAUAAAAUAAAUAUAUUCUUGUCCUAUAGAAAUGAAAAUAUAAAAAUAAAUUUAUGAUCCUACCAAAGAGAGUAAUAUUUAUUAGAGGAAGCUCAACAUGAUAAAGGCGAAGAGAUUUUAUGCUAACACUUAACCAGUUCCACAAAGCUGUGUUGUCUAUUUGAGCUCCACAUAAUUCAAGGAUCAAAGAAGACUAGUAGACGGAGGACAUUCUAAUCGCUGUCAGGGUGCUGCCGACAUUCAAAUACACCUCCGCACAGCUACAUCAGAAGAAAUUACGUCAAAAUCUAGCUUGGGGGAGAGCACCCCCAUUUAUCCAGCUAAGUGUUUCUACGCAUGUUUAUACUUUACUCAAAUAAUAAAUAGAUGCAUAAUCAUAAAAAACCCAAAUAAAGAUUUUAUGCUUAUAUAUAUAUAUAUAUAUCUUUUCUUAGUUUGCUAAAUAAAUAAAUAAAUAAAGUUUGCUAUGAACUCUCAUGAUAAGCUCUCACAUGGAAAUGAUGAAUAGUUGCUCUGCCUUGACUAGUUCUCAAAAGUGAAAUCUCUCUCAAGUUUAGGUAUGACUGUUAUGAAUUAAAAUUUGCUCUAAACCUAAACUUGUGGGAAGAGUACUUGAUCUAAAGUCUAAGUCGUUGACGGAUAUGAUAUGGGGAGGUUGAGCUGCUGUUUAUCUGUUCCUAGAGAUGCUAGAAUUCUGGAGAAUUUUAUCUUUGAAAAUAAUUAAAAUGUUGCAUGAUGAGUUUCUAUAUGAUGAGAGUUUAAAAUCCUACCACAGCCAUAUAUACAUGCUUAUUAGACUAUGAACCAUACAUUUACUUUUUACUGCUUAUGAGCCUUGAGUGUGGUCAAGCUGUGUAGACCCUUAGGAGCUUGUCAUGCGGUUAAAAUCAAGAUUCACUUGCACGUUCACUCAUACAUGCUGCUUCUACUCCGGAAGUACGCAUCCACAUACAUCCACUCCUUUCCAUCUCGAGAUUCAACUAAAAUUAUUCUACUCCUAUCCAGGAGAGAAUAGCCAAAAACAUUAUCCUAUCCCUAUUAUUCCCUGUGAAAUAAAUGCUCUUGAUAUUUUGGCUACUACCAUUUGCUACAUUAUUCUAGGAGGAUGAGUGCUCUGAAAAAAAGAAAAGAAAAAAUAUAGGAGGAACUAAAAAUGGGCAAGUGCCUGGAACCUCGAAGAAAAGAAAAAGUGAGACGAGAGGUAAAAAUGGACAAGUGUCCGACAGUAGAAUUAGGGGUACAAGAUACCCACCUGAGAAAAAAAUAUAUAUAUAUAGAGCAUCUCAUUCCCCUCAAAAAGCUUCAAAGUGCAAGAAAGGUAUGUAUCCCCUCAAAAGAGCAAAAGUAGAAUUAGACUUUCACCAAUGUUUUCACCAUCAUCACCAUACACCAUUCAUUCGCCACACAUGCACAUCUUGAUUUGACUUAUUGACUUGUUUCUCUGGAUCCAUGGUUUGACUAUGCAAUAAAUGUCUUGUAAGUAUGUAUUAGCUGUCUCCCACCUAUGAGCUCCAGAUAUCAAAACCUUGUUAGAGUAGGGUGAGAGAGAAGGCAAUAUCACUAUGCCUCAUACCAAAAAUACCACGUGCUUUGAGAGAAGGCAUAUAUCAUCACUGCUUUGGUAAGGAUCUAGAAAUACCACAAAAGAGAGAAUUGAGAGAGUCAUAUAAGGAAUCUCUGAGUUUUAUUUGAAAAUCUGCAAAAAAAACUCCAGAGCUAUAGUUGAUCAAAGAACAAGAGACAUGGUGCUUGACUUGACCGUUCUAUCUUUUAACUGCUCAAGACACAAGUGACGGUUGCAAGCCCCAUGGUGAAAGGUAAUAUGAGUAAGUUUAAAUCUUAACAGUUUACCUUAACCUAGAGAUGAGAUCUUGUUUGAACGCACGAGUACCUUUAAGGCAUAAAACCACUGCAGAAACUCUUGAGUCCAUUCUUGCUCAGGGACGAGGAAGAGGUAAGCUUGGGGGAGUUGUUGACGGUCCUUAAGUACCAAAUAUAAUUAUCAAAUAAACAAAGAAAAGGAUCCAAAUACAACCAACAUCUAAACUUAGGGUUUUAUAUGAUAGAAUUCCACGAGUUUUGGUGUUUGUCUGUCACACCCAUAUUUUAAGAACAAAAUAGGAUGCAUAAAAGACUCAUAUGUGCCCCAGAAACAGUCACACACAUAAGUAGACAAAUCUCAAAUGUACCAUUGCAGUGUUUAUUACAUAACGGAAUAUAAUAUAUCACAUAGUCUCAUACAAAAAUGAUAGCAUAAAGUAAACAACGCUCUCGACGGAAGCUCCACACAGGGACACUGUUGACUGGUUGACUCCAAACCUACUACUCAUAACGGUAGUUCUCAUUCCAGACAUCUUCAUUAUCAUAUCCUGAGGUGUUGGGAAAUUGCAAGAGUGAGCACAUAUCGUACUCAACAAGUAUAACCAGGGGUUCAUGAGGCUCAAAUAGCUGACAAUGUUUUGACUGCAUUUAGCUUUUAAUGGUGGAUAGCAUAUUCAUUAUUAAAUAGCAAAUGUCAAGGUAGCAUAAAUAAUCCAUUAAUCCCAUGAUCAAGUGUAAGCAUAAUUUAUUCACAGCAUAAACGAUAAUCAAAUGAACAUAAUAACAUAAUAAGCUCAUCAUCUUAAUGUAGACGUCCCCAAGGACGCUCCUGACCGUGAGCUCGGCUAGUAUACCAGUUUUACACUCUGCAGAGGUUGUACAUCUUUACCCAUGAGUCAUGAUUUACCCUUUCGCCCAAGGUAGCUAGUCUCUUAACCCCCUUCCUAGGGAGGUCGGCAGGGAUCACUAUGAAGCCUUUCAAAAGUUUGUCUAACAUGUUAGGGCUGCAAGGUUUCCUUUGCGCGCAGAUAUAGAGCCCCCCUUCCGAUGGCACAAUGACUCGCAGCCUAUACACAUACAGAUAGAGGCCACACUAUACCCAAAACGGUUCAGCCCCUCUGCCCUUUCGGGUAACCUCUAACAAGCUAGAAAAGGGCUUCAUACUGAGCUAAAGCC